This 253-nucleotide ribosomal RNA is filed under the name uncultured bacterium. RNAcentral's name for it is "partial 16S ribosomal RNA". It matches the Rfam family "Bacterial small subunit ribosomal RNA", at positions 524 to 776 of the family's 1533-position model. The record is from RNAcentral.
UACGUAGGGGGCAAGCGUUGUCCGGAUUUAUUGGGCGUAAAGAGCGCGCAGGCGGCUGGUCAAGUCCGAUGUGAAAGCUCCCGGCUUAACUGGGAAAUUGCAUCGGAAACUGAUCGGCUGGAAGGUGGGAGAGGGUAGCGGAAUUCCCGGUGUAGUGGUGAAAUGCGUAGAUAUCGGGAGGAACACCAGGGGCGAAAGCGGCUACCUGGCCCAUUCUUGACGCUGAGGCGCGAAAGCUAGGGUAGCAAACGGG